Molecule: long non-coding RNA, 340 nt
Organism: Malus domestica (apple)
Lineage: Eukaryota; Viridiplantae; Streptophyta; Magnoliopsida; Rosales; Rosaceae
Source: RefSeq, a predicted model, not a curated record
CGCGUGAACAGCAGAAAGAAAUCCUCUCGUUUCUCUCUCGGUCUUCAGCCAGAGUCGCCUCCUCCUCCUCCUCUCAAUCUCAUCUGCUCCGCCGUUACUGCUACUGUUUUACCAAAGGGACAUGCUGACAGUGGUCUUGACCGACUAUGACAGACUAAAAAAACCUAGAGCUAAGCAACAUUCAAGCGAUAUAUCAGUCUGUUAUCUACUAUUUCUUCCCUCCGAUUUCUGUUCUUGAGGAUACAAGUGUUUAGUAUUUGAACAAAUGUAUAACCAUGAGCAUUUUUUUUGUUUUCAUUGGUAUUUUGACAAUUAAUCUAUGAAAAAAAUACUCAAAGAU